This 161-nucleotide ribosomal RNA is filed under the name uncultured bacterium. RNAcentral's name for it is "partial 16S rRNA". It matches the Rfam family "Bacterial small subunit ribosomal RNA", at positions 358 to 511 of the family's 1533-position model. The record is from RNAcentral.
GGAAUCUUCCACAAUGGGCGCAAGCCUGAUGGAGCAACGCCGCGUGAGUGAAGAAGGGUUUCGGCUCGUAAAGCUCUGUUGUUAAAGAAGAACACGUAUGAGAGUAACUGUUCAUACGUUGACGGUAUUUAACCAGAAAGUCACGGCUAACUACGUGCCAG